RNAcentral lists this ribosomal RNA (439 nucleotides) under uncultured bacterium. RNAcentral's name for it is "partial 16S ribosomal RNA". It matches the Rfam family "Bacterial small subunit ribosomal RNA", at positions 338 to 795 of the family's 1533-position model. The record is from RNAcentral.
CCUACGGGAGGCUGCAGUGGGGAAUAUUGCACAAUGGGCGAAAGCCUGAUGCAGCAACGCCGCGUGAGCGAAGAAGGCCUUUGGGUCGUAAAGCUCUGUCCGAGGGGAAGAUAAUGACGGUACCCUUGGAGGAAGCCCCGGCUAACUACGUGCCAGCAGCCGCGGUAAUACGGAGGGGGCGAGCGUUAUCCGGAAUUAUUGGGCGUAAAGAGUGCGUAGGUGGUUCUUUAAGCGUGAGGUGAAAGGCAAUGGCUUAACUAUUGUAAGCCUUGCGAACUGGAGAACUUUAGUGCAGGAGAGGUAAGUGGAAUUCCUAGUGUAGCGGUGAAAUGCGUAGAUAUUAGGAGGAACACCAGUGGCGAAGGCGACUUACUGGACUGUAACUGACACUGAGGCACGAAAGCGUGGGGAGCAAACAGGAUUAGAUACCCCAGUAGUC